This 1473-nucleotide ribosomal RNA is filed under the name uncultured Bordetella sp. Its description in RNAcentral is "partial 16S-23S ribosomal RNA intergenic spacer". It matches the Rfam family "Bacterial small subunit ribosomal RNA". The record is from RNAcentral. Lineage: Bacteria; Pseudomonadati; Pseudomonadota; Betaproteobacteria; Burkholderiales; Alcaligenaceae.
UAACAGAGGGUUUGAUUAUGGCUCAGAUUGAACGCUGGCAGGAUGUACUUUACACAUGCAGUCGAACGGCAACACGGACUUCAGUCUGGUGGCGAGUGGCGAACGGGUGAGUAAUGUAUCGGAACGUGCCUAGUAGCGGGGGAUAACUACGCGAAAGCGUAGCUAAUACCGCAUACGCCCUUCGAAGCGGGGGACCUUCGGGCCUCGCACUAUUAGAGCGGCCGAUAUCGGAUUAGCUAGUUGGUGGGGGUAACGGCUCACCAAGGCGACGAUCCGUAGCUGGUUUGAGAGGACGACCAGCCACACUGGGACUGAGACACGGCCCAGACUCCUACGGGAGGCAGCAGUGGGGAAUUUUGGACAAUGGAAGCCUGAUCCAGCCAUCCCGCGUGUGCGAUGAAGGCCUUCGGGUUGUAAAGCACUUUUGGCGGAAAGAAACGGCGGGAUAUUACCCCGUGCAACUGACAGUACCUGCAGAAUAAGCGCAAGCUAACUACGUGCCAGCAGCCGCGGUAAUACGUAGGGUGCAAGCGUUAAUCGGAAUUACUGGGCGUAAAGCGUGCGCAGGCGGUUCGGAAAGAAGAUGUGAAAUCCCAGAGCUUAACUUUGGAACUGCAUUUUUAACUACCGAGCUAGAGUGUGUCAGAGGGAGGUGGAAUUCCGCGUGUAGCAGUGAAAUGCGUAGAUAUGCGGAGGAACACCGAUAGCGAGAGCGGCCUCUGGGAUAACACUGACCGCUCAUGCACGAAAGCGUGGGAGCAAACAGGAUUAGAUACCCUGGUAGUCACGCCCUAAACGAUGUCAACUAGCUGUUGGGGCCUUCGGGCCUUGGUAGCGCAGCUAACACGUGAGAUUGACUGCCUGGGGAGUACGGUCGCAAGAUUAAACCUCAAAAUUGACGGGGACCCGCACAAGCGGUGGAUGAUGUGGAUUAAUUCGAUGCAACGCGAAAAACCUUACCUACCCUUGACAUGUCUGGAAUCCCGAAGAGAUUUGGGAGUGCUCGCAAGAGAACAGGAACACGGGUGCUGCAUGGCUGUCGUCAGCUCGUGUCGUGAGAUGUUGGGUUAAGUCCCGCAACGAGCGCAACCCUUGUCAUUAGUUGCUACGAAAGGGCACUCUAAUGAGACUGUCGGUGACAAACAGGAGGAAGGUGGGGAUGACGUCAAGUCCUCAUGGCCCAUAUGGGUAGGGCUUCACACGUCAUACAAUGGUCGGGACGAGGUCGCCAACCCACCCGAGGAGCCAAUCAGAAACCCGAUCGUAGUCCGGAUCGCAGUCUGCAACUCGACUGCGUGAAGUCGGAAUCGCUAGUAAUCGCGGAUCAGCAUGUCGCGGUGAAUACGUUCCCGGGUCUUGUACACACCGCCCGUCACACCAUGGGAGUGGGUUUUACCAAGUAGUUAGCCUAACCGUAAGGAGGGCGAUUACUACGGUAGGAUUCAUGACUGGGGUGAAGUCGUAACAAGGUAA